AGUGAACGCUGGCGGUAGGCCUAACACAUGCAAGUCGAACGGCAGCACAGUAAGAGCUUGCUCUUACGGGUGGCGAGUGGCGGACGGGUGAGGAAUACAUCGGAAUCUACUUUUUCGUGGGGGAUAACGUAGGGAAACUUACGCUAAUACCGCAUACGACCUACGGGUGAAAGCAGGGGAUCUUCGGACCUUGCGCGAUUGAAUGAGCCGAUGUCGGAUUAGCUAGUUGGCGGGGUAAAGGCCCACCAAGGCGACGAUCCGUAGCUGGUCUGAGAGGAUGAUCAGCCACACUGGAACUGAGACACGGUCCAGACUCCUACGGGAGGCAGCAGUGGGGAAUAUUGGACAAUGGGCGCAAGCCUGAUCCAGCCAUACCGCGUGGGUGAAGAAGGCCUUCGGGUUGUAAAGCCCUUUUGUUGGGAAAGAAAAGCAGCAGGUUAAUACCCCGCUGCUCUGACGGUACCCAGAGAAUAAGCACCGGCUAACUUCGUG
Molecule: ribosomal RNA, 492 nt
Filed under: uncultured bacterium
Lineage: Bacteria
Description: partial 16S ribosomal RNA
Rfam family: Bacterial small subunit ribosomal RNA
Source: RNAcentral